RNAcentral lists this ribosomal RNA (497 nucleotides) under uncultured bacterium. RNAcentral's name for it is "partial 16S ribosomal RNA". It matches the Rfam family "Bacterial small subunit ribosomal RNA", at positions 28 to 507 of the family's 1533-position model. The record is from RNAcentral.
GAUGAACGCUGGCGGCGUGCCUAAUACAUGCAAGUCGAGCGAACGGACGAGAAGCUUGCUUCUCUGAUUUUAGCGGCGGACGGGUGAGUAACACGUGGAUAACCUACCUAUAAGACUUGGAUAACUUCGGGAAACCGGAUCUAAUACCGGAUGAUAUUUUGAACCGCAUGGUUCAAAAGUGCAAUACGGUCUUGCUGUCUCUUAUAGAUUGAUCCGCGCUGCAUUAGCUAGUUGGUAAGGUAACGGCUUACCAAGGCAACGAUGCAUAGCCGACCUGAGAGGGGGAUCGGACACACUGGAAGUGAGACACGGUCCAGACUCCUACGGGAGGCAGCAGUAGGGAAUCUUACGCAAUGGGCGAAAGCAUGACGGAGCAACGCCGAGUGAGUGAUGAAGGUCUUCGGAUCGUAAAACACUGUUAUUAGGGAAGAACAUAUGUGUAAGUAACUGUGCACAUAUUGACGGUACCUAAUCAGAAAGCCACGGCUAACUACGUG